AGAAUUAAAGAUUGGCAGUGGAUUAUUUAUUUAGAUGACAUGUCCCCAGUUACCCUUCUUUCCAGCUAAUUUUGAAGAUAUUACUAGUUAUUGAUUUGCUUAAUCAAUCGACAUUAUUGAUUUGGAAUGUAUCUAUUAUUUUCAUGAUUUGGUUUUUACUCCGUAUUCAAUAAAUCUAUUUAUACAUUCCACAUUCUGAAAUGGCUGUUGCAAAAGAAGAUGGGCAUUAUUUUCCCUCAGAAAGUUAGCAUCUUUUAGAGAACUGCAAACAAAGCCUUGUAUUGCAGGAGUGAUGAUUUCUGUCUCAAAUCAGUUGCUAUGCAGACUGAAAGCCAAUCCCCAGCCAUGCAACUGCAGCCUACCAACACUGCACAAUGCCACCCAGCAAGUACGGUACAGUUGUCAAUCGAUCGAUCGUUUACUUGCAUAGCUUCAUAGAAAAAUUAGCCAAUUCCGUAAAGAAUAUCUUAGUCCUGGUGCGUUUGUUCUGUUCAGUGUUCACUUGCCUUGGAAAUCAAGAUUCGAUCUGGAUAUCAUUUUAUAUUAUUGUGCCUGUGUGCUUACAACAUGAUCAGUUUGCAAUUUUCUAAGUAAUCCGUUGUCUUCUUGUAUCUUUAUCUAAGUGGAGCAUUUUUCGCCUAAGGCUCAGAGCAUCGCCUAAGGCUCACGAUUCAAUAAGUGGAGCAUUUUUAGGAUCAGCACAUUCAUCUAACAGUUUUAGGAUUCAAAUCGGCGCAUCAAAUUUUUCUGAAACAGUAGCACACUACAGUAUUCGGUUCCUUGUUCAGGAUAUGAUCCGUUUGGAUGCCUAAUUAUCAUAGUUAUUAAAUGGAGAGUUGUUAAAUGGAGAGUUGCCUAAUGAUCCGUUUGGAUGCCUAAUUAUCAUAGUUACCUGCUGUGUCUUAAUGUUUCAUUUCUUACUGUAACCACGUGCUCAUUGGUUGAUUCUAUUUAUCUUGUUUUGAUUGUAGUAGGUAGGGACCAGAGAGAUGUGCAGUUGUUGUUGCUGCAUUGCCAGCCCGUGGCCAUUUAGGAAACAAUAGCUACUUGACUCCUACUUACAUUUGUAGCUUUGCAGCUUCGCUCUUGUGACUUUGCUUUACAAUAGAGACUUAUUGGUUGCUAUGAUUUUUCAGGUGGUUAUAACCAGUGCACUAAUUGAAGGCAAACUACUCGUCAUUUUCUUCAUUGGUGUUUGUAGCAUUAGUAUGAAGGCAAGCUGCUCCUUA
This 1229-nucleotide long non-coding RNA is filed under the name Sorghum bicolor (sorghum). RNAcentral's name for it is "long non-coding RNA (SBIC_LNC010981)". Lineage: Eukaryota; Viridiplantae; Streptophyta; Magnoliopsida; Poales; Poaceae. The record is from RNAcentral.